CCUACGGGGAGCUGCAGUGAGGAAUAUUGGUCAAUGGACGAGAGUCUGAACCAGCCAAGUAGCGUGAAGGAUGACUGCCCUAUGGGUUGUAAACUUCUUUUAUAUGGGAAUAAAAUGUUCCACGUGUGGGAUUUUGUAUGUACCAUAUGAAUAAGGAUCGGCUAACUCCGUGCCAGCAGCCGCGGUAAUACGGAGGAUCCGAGCGUUAUCCGGAUUUAUUGGGUUUAAAGGGAGCGUAGGUGGAUUGUUAAGUCAGUUGUGAAAGUUUGCGGCCCAACCGUAAAAUUGCAGUUGAAACUGGCAGUCUUGAGUACAGUAGAGGUGGGCGGAAUUCGUGGUGUAGCGGUGAAAUGCUUAGAUAUCACGAAGAACUCCGAUUGCGAAGGCAGUUCACUGGACUGCAACUGACACUGAGGCUCGAAAGUGUGGGUAUCAAACAGGAUUAGAUACCCCUGUAGUC
RNAcentral lists this ribosomal RNA (460 nucleotides) under uncultured bacterium. RNAcentral's name for it is "partial 16S ribosomal RNA". It matches the Rfam family "Bacterial small subunit ribosomal RNA", at positions 338 to 795 of the family's 1533-position model. The record is from RNAcentral.